Molecule: ribosomal RNA, 314 nt
Filed under: uncultured Spirotrichea
Lineage: Eukaryota; Ciliophora; Spirotrichea
Description: SSU rRNA
Rfam family: Eukaryotic small subunit ribosomal RNA
Source: RNAcentral
UGGUAUGCUCGACUUUUGUGGAGGGCGGUAUUUAUUAGAUAACAAGCCAAUAUUCCUCUGGUCUAUUGUGGUGACUCAUAGUAACUGAUCGAAUCGCAAGGCCUGUGGCCGCGAUAAGUCAUUCAAGUUUCUGCCCCAUCAGCUUUCGAUGGUAGUGUAUUGGACUACCAUGGCGUUUACGGGUAACGGAGGAUUAGGGUUCGAUUCCGGAGAGGGAGCCUGAGAAACGGCUACCACAUCUAAGGAUGGCAGCAGGCGCGUAAAUUACCCAAUCCUGAUUCAGGGAGGUAGUGACAAGAAAUAACGGGCCGGGA